AGAGUUUGAUCCUGGCUCAGGAUGAACGCUAGCGGCGUGCCUAACACAUGCAAGUCGAACGCGCAGCCGAAUUCUUCGGAAAUCGGUGGGCGAGUGGCGAGCGGGUGAGUAACACGUGGGUGACCUGCCCCGAAGUGGGGGAUAAUCCUUCGAAAGGGGGACUAAUCCCGCAUAUGCUCCACAGGGUUAGAGGCCUGUGGAGUAAAGUUCCGGCGCUUCGGGAGGGGCCUGCGGCCGAUUAGCUAGUUGGUGGGGUAAUGGCUCACCAAGGCGACGAUCGGUAGCUGGUCUGAGAGGACGAUCAGCCACACUGGCACUGAGACACGGGCCAGACUCCUACGGGAGGCAGCAGUGAGGAAUAUUGCGCAAUGGGCGAAAGCCUGACGCAGCAACGCCGCGUGGGUGAUGAAGGCCUUCGGGUCGUAAAACCCUUUUCUGGGGGACGAGGAAGGACGGUACCUCAGGAAUAAGUCUCGGCUAACUACGUGCCAGCAGCCGCGGUAAAACGUAGGAGGCGAGCGUUAUCCGGAUUUACUGGGCGUAAAGCGCGCGCAGGCGGCUCCGUAAGUCGGACGUGAAAGCCCCCGGCUCAACUGGGGGAGGUCGUUCGAUACUGCAGGGCUUGAGGUCGGGAGAGGGAAGCGGAAUUCCCGGUGUAGUGGUGAAAUGCGUAGAUAUCGGGAGGAACACCAGUGGCGAAGGCGGCUUCCUGGCCCGCACCUGACGCUAAGGCGCGAAAGCGUGGGUAGCGAACGGGAUUAGAUACCCCGGUAGUCCACGCCCUAAACGAUGGCAACUAGGUGUUGGGGGCUAUUAACCCC
Molecule: ribosomal RNA, 821 nt
Filed under: uncultured bacterium
Lineage: Bacteria
Description: bacterial SSU rRNA
Rfam family: Bacterial small subunit ribosomal RNA
Source: RNAcentral